CUAAAUCCCUAAAGGUUAGAGAAGCUUGAAAGUCAGCUGCCAUACGACCACCCAUCCUCCUCCUGCCCGUCCCCAUUUCCCUCACUCACCUGAACCACACUACUCUUCUUCUUCACGACGACCUGGGCGGACAGCCAUAGAAAAAGACCAGCUAUAGCCCAUCGCACAGCCAAACGACCGCCCUGAUCUCCCGUCACCUGUUCGUCCACCACCAUCCUAGACACACAACACACACAGACUCAGCCGUUCCUGUUCUUCUACUCAAAGGUGAGAGCCUAAGUUCUGUUCGUGGUGCUGUUCAAAUCCCCAUGUUUGUGAGGCUGUCCGGCCAAGCUCAGAUCUGGAAAAUGAUUUUGUGUUCGAGGCUGCUGGCUUGAUGUCGUCGUUCUGUUGCCGAGUUCAGUCCGAUCGAGUCUCAGUCGUCUUUGAAAAGUCGAGUUUGUUCCGAAGAGGUUUGGUCGAGUUCGUUGGGAUUCUGACGAAGCAGUUCAUUUUUUCGUUCGAGUUUUCUAGAUCCGAUGUCGAUUUAAGGUUCCGCAAUUUUGGCGGGUCAAGCUUAACAAAGGUCCGUUUCUUUGUUAAAUUUGGAUGUUCGUUUUACAGGUCAUCUUGUACUGGUUUGGGUUUGAGAUUCUGCCAUUUUGGAAAUUCACAUGUUAAUGUUAUUUAUCUUUGUUUUGUAUAGUUUGUUUGAGUUUGUUAUUUUGUGAUAUUUGUGUUGUUUAUAUUAACAUCGACCAACCCCAUUUUCAAUUAGAAGGUUGAGGAGAAGAGGGGAUGAGGACAAGAAGGGUCGCUCUGGCGGUAAGCAACCUCCAAUUCCAACCAAGAUGUUGUGAGUUCGAGUCUCCCCAAGAGUAAGGUGGGAAGUUCUUGGAGGGAAGGAUGCCGGGNN
This 895-nucleotide long non-coding RNA is filed under the name Nicotiana benthamiana. RNAcentral's name for it is "long non-coding RNA (NBEN_LNC004164)". Lineage: Eukaryota; Viridiplantae; Streptophyta; Magnoliopsida; Solanales; Solanaceae. The record is from RNAcentral.